CUGAUUUUAAAUUUUAAAUACAAAUAUGAUUAAAUAUCAUUAUAAAAAUAUUAAAUAAGAUCAUAAAAUACCUCAAAAAUCAAGAAAACAAAGAAUUUUCUUACCUGGAGUCAAGUACAGAUAACAGAGCUGCUUGCCUGCUUCCGUGCUUCGACGACAACACCAACGAGUAGCGGCCAGCUGUAGCUCCAGCCUCCAACUAUGAUACUUUUGAAGGUUUUGG
This 223-nucleotide long non-coding RNA is filed under the name Gossypium barbadense (sea-island cotton). Its description in RNAcentral is "long non-coding RNA (GBAR_LNC003369)". The record is from RNAcentral. Lineage: Eukaryota; Viridiplantae; Streptophyta; Magnoliopsida; Malvales; Malvaceae.